RNAcentral lists this long non-coding RNA (2612 nucleotides) under Theobroma cacao (cacao). RNAcentral describes it as "long non-coding RNA (TCAC_LNC002048)". Lineage: Eukaryota; Viridiplantae; Streptophyta; Magnoliopsida; Malvales; Malvaceae. The record is from RNAcentral.
AAAUUUCGUCUAAAUGUCAGUACAUGAAAAACAUUUUCCAAAACAAGUUCAAAACCAAACCCUAAAUACAAGCUAAUGAUUCUUACAUAACCGACAUCUACUUCGACAGUGUUUUCAACUCCAAGCUUGGCCUCUGUCUCACUUGGUUUCUGUUUGCUUUUGAAUCCCUGUAAAGUAACAACAACAUGACCAGUUGCACUACUAUCAAGCUACCACGAAUUUGGUGGUGCACUAACAAAAUAAGAUUCAAAACAAACUAGGGCCAAUGACUUACCUUCUUGUUUAUUCUUUUUCUCUAACUAAGACUUAUAUUUAGGGCAUUUAGUUUUCAUGUGACCAUUUUUCUUGUAAGAAAAAUAUCUCACAUCUUUCUUUAUGAUAGCUUUAAGAUCUCUUACCCUUUCAAUUUGACCAUUACCCUAUCUUUUAUUAUCCUGAACCUAUUUAAAAACAUUUGACACAAACUCUCUAAGUUUCUUAAAAUUCUUCUGGAAGUAAGGUUUAGGAUUGGUGGUAAGCAAGGCACUCUCACUCUUUUCUUUCUUGAGUUUUUCUUCCUCAGAGAUGCACUUGGAGAUAAAGUCAUUGACACUCCAAACCUCAUUCAAAACAUUAUAGGUAGUCUUGAUUUAGGUAAAUUCAAUGGGUAAAGAAUUAAAUGCAUGAUGGACAAUGAAUUUGUUAUGAAAGGUGAUCUCAUGGGAAGCCAAUUUGAUUUGAAUGUGGACCAUUUUCAUGAUAAAAUCCCUAACCCCUCAAAUACUAUCAGCGUUCAUACUUUAAGCUCACUCAUAAGAUUCCCAGCCUCAGACUUAUUAGAUUUUUGGUAUCUUUCACCUACAGCUUCAUAAAUGUCCUUAGCAAUUUCAAUUGUUUGCAACCCACUCAAUAGAUGCUCAAAAACAGUUUUUUUAAUGGCAUGCAGACAUAUGUGAUUCGCUUUAUCUCAUUUAGCAAAGAACUCUUUUUGUUUAGUGGUGCUCUCAUCAAUAAAGGCAUCAGACAUAUCAACACAUAAGGCUAUGUCUAUUUCAUUCAUGACCAAGGCAAAAGGCAAAUCUUCAUUCCAUAUCUUAUAGUUAGACCUGUUAAAAAUUUCAAUAGUAGCUUGAUUAUUGUUCAUAAUAAAAGUCAAUGUUUAAGACAAGAAAUGCAAUUAUUAGUCAAUGGGCAAAAUAAUUAGCUAUAGUCCAUGAUGUGCUAAAAAAUAACUGAAGAGUCUAGGAGCAUCAUCACAUACUCCCCUUUGGAUAGAGAAUAUGACAUGCUGAUAGGCACUCUCCACAUAAAAUUAAUAUGAGAAUAUCCUAGUUUUCGAAAAGCCUAUCAUCUUUGAGCAAACAGAACUUUUAGACCGAUGUAUCCUAAACCAUGAUGCUUCAUGUCUCACUCUAAAUUGCCCCAUACAAUAACCCCUUUGGAUAGGUAAUUGUAUAAAAUAAUUUAAAAACUAUCCUGUAACCUUUUGCUCAAGAAAAUAAUCUAUCAAUUUCAAUAAAUGAGCCACUUUGGCAGCCAAGCACUUACAUCAAUCAAUAAAAAAUUUCCUCAAACCAAAAAUUUACAAUUUGCCCAAAAUCCUUAAUUUGCAUACUCAACUCAAUGUAUGUAAUGGAUCAUUCCAAUUGAGAUACUAAGCUUGGGUGUAUCUCAUUUGAUUCCAAAUAGCAUAUGUUGCAUUAAAAACUUAGUGUCUUGAACUUAAAUAAUUCUCUAAAAUUAUGCAUAGAAUUACAAUCCAAGAGCACAAAAGUUUGGAGGCUAAUCUACGAAGAGAACAUAGUACCAACAAACUCUAAGCAUACCAAAAUAUCUUAUAAUGAAACAAAUUCACAGAAUGCAUGCAUAUAAAUUAGAGAAAAUAUAUGAAUAUGCAUAAAAAUGCAUAAAUAUUAAAUAAUAAUAAUUUUAAAGUCAUAUAAAAUUCUAGAAAAAUAUCCAAAAAAACAGAAAUUAAAUUCUAAGGCUACCAAAAAAAUGGGGCCAAGAUCAUACUUUUAUAGCCCCACACAUGCCACACACACCACCCUAUGCACAUGGGCUUUAUCCAAGGAUCAAUCUAAGUCUUCUCCUACCUUCUACCGGGUUGACUUGACCCUACUAAAGCAAGAUUCAACCCAUUCGGGUUUGUUUAGAAUUUUCUCUUGAUUUUUAUAGUUUUUAAGCCUGUUUUAAUGCAAUCGAAAUUACCAAAACUUAAUUAGACCUUCAUUUUACAAAACCCAUGCAUCAAAACACUCCCAAAAAUACAAAAUCAAGAUCAAUCAUCAAGAACUAGAUUUUUAGGUUCUAUGUGUUCAAACCUAAACAUCACUAUCUAAUUCUUAUCUCUACAGUACAAGUUAAGAGAAUAUAUUCAUUGUAAGCAACAAAAGCUCACUUGUUUGGAUCCUAAUUUCACACAGAAGGCUCUGAAAUGAAAUGUAAGUUUUUAAUCCCUAGAUCCAUGUAUGAAGAUUAGAACACCAAAAGUCAUAUACAUAAAUAUUAUUGUAUACCUGUUUGAUUCAUUAAGAUAGCCAUUUCUUGUUGAGGAAUACCAAAGAACUACUAGCAUAAGCUAGAUCUUCAUUUUCGAUCUUUUCCUUUUUGGUUGCUUACAAUGGGUAAAG